RNAcentral lists this ribosomal RNA (479 nucleotides) under uncultured bacterium. Its description in RNAcentral is "partial 16S ribosomal RNA". It matches the Rfam family "Bacterial small subunit ribosomal RNA", at positions 28 to 507 of the family's 1533-position model. The record is from RNAcentral.
GAUGAACGCUAGCGGGAGGCCUAACACAUGCAAGCCGAGCGGUAUUGUUUCUUCGGAAAUGAGAGAGCGGCGUACGGGUGCGUAACACGUGUGCAACCUGCCUUUAUCUGGGGGAUAGCCUUUCGAAAGGAAGAUUAAUACUUCAUAAUAUAUUGAACGGCAUCGUUUAAUAUUGAAAGCUCCGGCGGAUAGAGAUGGGCACGCGCAAGAUUAGCUAGUUGGUGAGGUAACGGCUCACCAAGGCGAGGAUCUUUAGGGGGCCUGAGAGGGUGAUCCCCCACACUGGUACUGGGACACGGACCAGACUCCUACGGGAGGCAGCAGUGAGGAAUAUUGGUCAAUGGGUGCAAGCCUGAACCAGCCAUCCCGCGUGAAGGACGACUGCCCUAUGGGUUGUAAACUUCUUUUGUAUAGGGAUAAACCUACCCUCGAGAGGGUAGCUGAAGGUACUAUACGAAUAAGCACCGGCUAACUCCGUG